UGAGGAACAUGACCUUCGGCGGGGGAUAGCCGGCCCAACGGCCGGGUAAUACCGCGUACGACCACAUGGGGACAUCCCUGAGUGGUGAAAGCAGCAAUGCGCCGAUGGAGCGCCUCGCGGCCUAUCAGCUAGUUGGUGAGGUAACGGCUCACCAAGGCGACGACGGGUAGCUGGUCUGAGAGGAUGGCCAGCCACAUUGGGACUGAGACACGGCCCAGACCUCUACGGGAGG
Molecule: ribosomal RNA, 232 nt
Filed under: uncultured bacterium
Lineage: Bacteria
Description: partial 16S ribosomal RNA
Rfam family: Bacterial small subunit ribosomal RNA
Source: RNAcentral